Molecule: ribosomal RNA, 266 nt
Filed under: uncultured bacterium
Lineage: Bacteria
Description: partial 16S ribosomal RNA
Rfam family: Bacterial small subunit ribosomal RNA
Source: RNAcentral
GUCCACGCUGUAAACGAUGAGUGCUAGGCGUUGGGGGGUAUUGACCCCCCCAGUGCCGCAGCUAACGCGUUAAGCACUCCGCCUGGGGAGUACGGCCGCAAGGCUAAAACUCAAAGGAAUUGACGGGGGCCCGCACAAGCGGUGGAGCAUGUGGUUUAAUUCGACGCAACGCGAAGAACCUUACCUGGGUUAAAUCCACCGGAAUCUUCUGGAGACAGAGGAGUGCACUUCGGGGAACCGGUGAGAAGGUGCUGCAUGGCUGUCGU